This 492-nucleotide ribosomal RNA is filed under the name uncultured bacterium. RNAcentral describes it as "partial 16S ribosomal RNA". It matches the Rfam family "Bacterial small subunit ribosomal RNA", at positions 29 to 507 of the family's 1533-position model. The record is from RNAcentral.
AGUGAACGCUGGCGGUAGGCCUAACACAUGCAAGUCGAACGGCAGCACAGUAAGAGCUUGCUCUUACGGGUGGCGAGUGGCGGACGGGUGAGGAAUACAUCGGAAUCUACUUUUUCGUGGGGGAUAACGUAGGGAAACUUACGCUAAUACCGCAUACGACCUACGGGUGAAAGCAGGGGAUCUUCGGACCUUGCGCGAUUGAAUGAGCCGAUGUCGGAUUAGCUAGUUGGCGGGGUAAAGGCCCACCAAGGCGACGAUCCGUAGCUGGUCUGAGAGGAUGAUCAGCCCAACUGGAACUGAGACCCGGUCCAAACCCCUACGGGAGGCAGCAGUGGGGAAUAUUGGACAAUGGGCGCAAGCCUGAUCCAGCCAUACCGCGUGGGUGAAGAAGGCCUUCGGGUUGUAAAGCCCUUUUGUUGGGAAAGAAAAGCAGCAGGUUAAUACCCCGCUGUUCUGACGGUACCCAAAGAAUAAGCACCGGCUAACUUCGUG